GGGAAGGAUCAUUAAAAGAUUCUGGGCCCUUACCUGCCCAUUCUAUUCAGCUGUGCGCUUCGGCUGCACGCUGGAUGCAACACCUCACACCUGUGCACCAUUUCGGUUGCGGCUUUGGCCGCUGCCGCUUCAAAUGCAACCACUCAGUCUCGAAUGUAACAAAACUAUAAAAAGUAACAACUUUUCAACAACGGAUCUCUUGGCUCUCGCAUCGAUGAAGAACGCAGCGAAAUGCGAUAAGUAAUGUGAAUUGCAGAAUUCAGUGAAUCAUCGAAUCUUUUGAAACGCAUCUUGCGCUCCUUGGUAUUCCAUGGAGCAUGCCUGUUUGAGUGUCACGUAAACCCUCACCCUUGCGAUGUAACAGUUGCACUGCGGUGGACUUGGACUGUGCCGUAACSGGCUCGUCUUGAAAUGCAUUAGCUGGCGCUUUUAGAGUGCUGGGCGACGGUGUGAUAAUUAUCUGCGCCAAUGCCCUGGGCCUCUUCAGCGGUGCUGCUUACAGUCGUCCCUCUGCGGACAACUAAUAUAUU
RNAcentral lists this ribosomal RNA (530 nucleotides) under Auricularia fuscosuccinea. RNAcentral describes it as "partial small subunit ribosomal RNA". The stretch from base 180 to 335 matches the Rfam family "5.8S ribosomal RNA". The record is from RNAcentral. Lineage: Eukaryota; Fungi; Basidiomycota; Agaricomycetes; Auriculariales; Auriculariaceae.